GGUAGCUUGCUNCCUNNCCUAGCGGCGGACGGGUGAGUAAUGCUUAGGAAUCUGCCUAUUAGUGGGGGACAACAUUCCGAAAGGAAUGCUAAUACCGCAUACGCCCUACGGGGGAAAGCAGGGGAUCUUCGGACCUUGCGCUAAUAGAUGAGCCUAAGUCAGAUUAGCUAGUUGGUGGGGUAAAGGCCUACCAAGGCGACGAUCUGUAGCGGGUCUGAGAGGAUGAUCCGCCACACUGGGACUGAGACACGGCCCAGACUCCUACGGGAGGCAGCAGUGGGGAAUAUUGGACAAUGGGCGAAAGCCUGAUCCAGCCAUGCCGCGUGUGUGAAGAAGGCCUUUUGGUUGUAAAGCACUUUAAGCGAGGAGGAGGCUACUUGGAUUAAUACUCUAGGAUAGUGGACGUUACUCGCAGAAUAAGCACCGGCUAACUCUGUGCCAGCAGCCGCGGUAAUACAGAGGGUGCGAGCGUUAAUCGGAUUUACUGGGCGUAAAGCGUGCGUAGGCGGCUUCUUAAGUCGGAUGUGAAAUCCCUGAGCUUAACUUAGGAAUUGCAUUCGAUACUGGGAAGCUAGAGUAUGGGAGAGGAUGGUAGAAUUCCNGGUGUAGCGGUGAAAUGCGUAGAGAUCUGGAGGAAUACCGAUGGCGANGGCAGCCAUCUGGCCUAAUACUGACGCUGANGUACGAAAGCAUGGGGAGCAAACAGGAUUAGNUACCCUGGUAGUCCAUGCCGUAAACNAUGUNUACUANCCG
RNAcentral lists this ribosomal RNA (753 nucleotides) under Acinetobacter sp. PhelS2. RNAcentral's name for it is "bacterial SSU rRNA". It matches the Rfam family "Bacterial small subunit ribosomal RNA", at positions 74 to 822 of the family's 1533-position model. The record is from RNAcentral. Lineage: Bacteria; Pseudomonadati; Pseudomonadota; Gammaproteobacteria; Moraxellales; Moraxellaceae.